UCCAGUUCAGACUCAAUAAACUCACGUUGACGUUCGUGUCGUGUGGACCUGCUGAACUUCAACAUGUUCCACCGGUGUGUUUUCCUGCUGCUCGUCACCCUCUUCGCCGUCUCUCUGGCAGCUCCUGUCCCAGAUGAUUCAGCGGACA
Molecule: non-coding RNA, 148 nt
Organism: Paralichthys olivaceus (Japanese flounder)
Lineage: Eukaryota; Metazoa; Chordata; Actinopteri; Pleuronectiformes; Paralichthyidae
Source: RefSeq, a predicted model, not a curated record